Molecule: ribosomal RNA, 370 nt
Filed under: uncultured eukaryote
Lineage: Eukaryota
Description: partial 18S ribosomal RNA
Rfam family: Eukaryotic small subunit ribosomal RNA
Source: RNAcentral
CAAUAGUGUAUAUUAAAGUUGUUGCAGUUAAAAAGCUCGUAGUUGGAUGUCGGUAACUAUCAUAAGUGUCUACUCUCAAUGAGUACGUACACGAAUGUAGUACCUUCUUUCUGGUAGUAAUUUUAUAUUGCUCCAGAUAUUUUACUUUGAGAAAAUUAGAGUGUUCAAAGCAGGCGUAACUUUGCCUUUGAAUAUAUUAGCAUGGGAUAAUGAAAUAAGACUUUUGCCUUAUUUUCGUUGGUUCUUUAGGCUUGAGUAAUGAUUAAUAGGGACAGUUGGGGUUAUCUGUAUUUGAUCGCCAGAGGUGAAAUUCUAAGACUGAUCAAAGACAAACUACUGCGAAAGCAUUUAACAAGGAUGUUUUCAUUAA